GUGCUCACUUCAGCAGCACAUCUACAAAACUCGGAAGAUAACAGAAAAGAUUAGCAUGGCCCUUGCACAAGGAAUAGCAUGCAGCCUUCCAUAUUUUU
Molecule: small nuclear RNA, 98 nt
Filed under: Canis lupus familiaris (dog)
Lineage: Eukaryota; Metazoa; Chordata; Mammalia; Carnivora; Canidae
Source: RNAcentral